Molecule: ribosomal RNA, 482 nt
Filed under: uncultured bacterium
Lineage: Bacteria
Description: partial 16S ribosomal RNA
Rfam family: Bacterial small subunit ribosomal RNA
Source: RNAcentral
GAUGAACGCUAGCGGCAGGCCUAAUACAUGCAAGUCGGACGGGAUUCAGGAGCUUGCUUCUGAUGAGAGUGGCGCACGGGUGCGUAACACGUAUGUAACCUACCUUUAUCAGGGGGAUAGCCUCUCGAAAGAGAGAUUAAGCCCGCAUAAAAUCACAGCACAGCAUUGUGUAAUGAUCAAAUAUUUAUAGGAUAAAGAUGGGCAUGCGGAACAUUAGCUAGAUGGCGGGGUAACGGCCCACCAUGGCGACGAUGUUUAGGGGAUCUGAGAGGAUGGCCCCCCACACUGGUACUGAGACACGGACCAGGCUCCUACGGGAGGCAGCAGUAAGGAAUAUUGGUCAAUGGGCGGAAGCCUGAACCAGCCAUGCCGCGUGCAGGAAGACGGCCCUACGGGUUGUAAACUGCUUUUAUACGGGAAUAAACCCAGAUACGUGUAUCUGGCUGAAUGUACUGUAAGAAUAAGGAUCGGCUAACUCCGUG